UNANACAUGCAAGUCGGGCGGUAAGGCUUUCACAGAUUAUUUGAACGGAUAAGUUCGCCUAAAAAACGAAUACUGUUUGAAGACAUUUUUCACCGGCUGGUGAUGAGUGGUCGAAUAAUGUGUGAAAGUACACGAGCGGCGGACGGCUGAGUAACGCGUAGGAACGUACCCCAAAGUGAGGGAUAAGCACCGGAAACGGUGUCUAAUACCGCAUGUGCUCUAAGGAGUAAAGUCUUCGGACGCUUUGGGAGCGGCCUGCGUAUGAUUAGUUUGUUGGUGAGGUAAAGGCUCACCAAGACUACGAUCAUUAGCUGGUCUGAGAGGAUGAUCAGCCAGACUGGGACUGAGACACGGCCCAGACUCCUACGGGAGGCAGCAGUAGGGAAUUUUCCACAAUGGACGAAAGUCUGAUGGAGCAACGCCGCGUGCAGGAUGAAGGCUUUCGGGUCGUAAACUGCUUUUAUGAGUGAUGAAUUAAGACAGUAACUCAAGAAUAAGGGUCGGCUAACUACGUGCCAGCAGCCGCGGUCAUACGUAGGACCCAAGCGUUAUCCGGAAUUACUGGGCGUAAAGAGUUGUGUAGGCGGCUUAUUAAGCAAGGUGUGAAAUCGUAUGGCUCAACCAUAUAUACAUACUUUGAACUGAUGAGCUAGAGGGCGAGAGAGGUUAUUGGAAUUUCUAGUGUAGGAGUGAAAUCCGUAGAUAUUAGAAGGAACACCGAUGGCGUAGGCAGAUAACUGGCUCGCACCUGACGCUCAGACACGAAAGCGUGGGUAGCAAACGGGAUUAGAUACCCCGGUAGUCCACGCCGUAAACUAUGGAUGCUAGCUGUUAGUCGUAUCGACCCGAUUAGUAGCGAAGCUAACGCGUUAAGCAUCCCGCCUGUGGAGUACGAGCGCAAGCUUAAAACAUAAAGGAAUUGACGGGGACCCGCACAAGCGGUGGAGCGUGUUGUUUAAUUCGAUGAUAAGCGAAGAACCUUACCCAGGCUUGACAUCCUUGAAAGGACUACGAAAGUAGACUGUGCCUUUUGGAAUCAAGUGACAGGUGUUGCAUGGCCGUCGUCAGCUCGUGUCGUGAGAUGUUUGGUUAAGUCCAUCAACGAGCGCAACCCUUAUAGUUAGUUGUAUUUUUCUAGCUAGACUGCCCUGGCAACAGGGAGGAAGGAGGGGAUGAUGUCAGGUCAGUAUUACCCUUAUGUCUGGGGCUACAAACACGCUACAAUGGCCGGUACAAAGGGAAGCCAACCCGCGAGGGGGAGCAAAUCCCAUCAAAGCCGGUCUCAGUUCGGAUUGCAGGCUGAAACUCGCCUGCAUGAAGCUGGAAUCGCUAGUAACGGUAAGUCAGCACAUUACCGUGAAUACGUUCCCGGGUCUUGUACACACCGCCCGUCAAACCAUGGAAGUCGCCAAUACCUGACGUCCUAGCUAGUCUAGGCCCAAGGUAGGGGAGAUGACUGGGGUUAAGUCGUAACAAGGUAAC
This 1482-nucleotide ribosomal RNA is filed under the name uncultured bacterium. Its description in RNAcentral is "16S ribosomal RNA". It matches the Rfam family "Bacterial small subunit ribosomal RNA". The record is from RNAcentral.